This 772-nucleotide ribosomal RNA is filed under the name Subtercola boreus. Its description in RNAcentral is "bacterial SSU rRNA". It matches the Rfam family "Bacterial small subunit ribosomal RNA", at positions 43 to 823 of the family's 1533-position model. The record is from RNAcentral. Lineage: Bacteria; Bacillati; Actinomycetota; Actinomycetes; Micrococcales; Microbacteriaceae.
CGUGCUUAACACAUGCAAGUCGAACGAUGAUGAUGAGCUUGCUUAGCGGAUUAGUGGCGAACGGGUGAGUAACACGUGAGUAACCUGCCCUUGACUCUGGGAUAAGCGUUGGAAACGACGUCUAAUACCGGAUAUGACGACCGAGCGCAUGUUCUGGUUGUGGAAAGAUUUUUUGGUCAAGGAUGGACUCGCGGCCUAUCAGGUUGUUGGUGAGGUAAUGGCUCACCAAGCCUACGACGGGUAGCCGGCCUGAGAGGGUGACCGGCCACACUGGGACUGAGACACGGCCCAGACUCCUACGGGAGGCAGCAGUGGGGAAUAUUGCACAAUGGGCGAAAGCCUGAUGCAGCAACGCCGCGUGAGGGAUGACGGCCUUCGGGUUGUAAACCUCUUUUAGUAAGGAAGAAGAACUUCGGUUUGACGGUACUUGCAGAAAAAGCACCGGCUAACUACGUGCCAGCAGCCGCGGUAAUACGUAGGGUGCAAGCGUUGUCCGGAAUUAUUGGGCGUAAAGAGCUCGUAGGCGGUUUGUCGCGUCUGCUGUGAAAUCUGGGGGCUCAACCCCCAGCCUGCAGUGGGUACGGGCAGACUAGAGUGCGGUAGGGGAGAUUGGAAUUCCUGGUGUAGCGGUGGAAUGCGCAGAUAUCAGGAGGAACACCGAUGGCGAAGGCAGAUCUCUGGGCCGUAACUGACGCUGAGGAGCGAAAGCAUGGGGAGCGAACAGGAUUAGAUACCCUGGUAGUCCAUGCCGUAAACGUUGGGAACUAGAUGU